RNAcentral lists this small RNA (277 nucleotides) under Arabidopsis thaliana (thale cress). RNAcentral describes it as "ATSL255740". The record is from RNAcentral. Lineage: Eukaryota; Viridiplantae; Streptophyta; Magnoliopsida; Brassicales; Brassicaceae.
AAAAAAAAUCUAUUGAAAAUUAACAUUAUUAAAAGAAGGUAUAUUUGUCAUUUGUUUUUUGGACUAAAUCAUCUUCAUCCAAAUGGUUCUACCAAAUCCAUCCAAAUGAGUUUCACAAAUUAGCCUAAGUUUAACAGAUGAAACAUCCAAAUGAUUUGUUAAUUUGUAAAAAACAAACAUCAUUUUUCAUUUUCAUCCAGAUGAUCCAUUUGGAUGGAGAAACAAACAGGGCCUAUAUUGAUCGCAUUUGACCACAUGAGGAUUUAGAAUUUAUUUA